RNAcentral lists this ribosomal RNA (251 nucleotides) under uncultured prokaryote. Its description in RNAcentral is "partial 16S rRNA". It matches the Rfam family "Bacterial small subunit ribosomal RNA", at positions 525 to 775 of the family's 1533-position model. The record is from RNAcentral.
ACGGAGGGUGCAAGCGUUGUCCGGAAUUAUUGGGCGUAAAGCGCGUGUAGGUGGCCUGUUAUGUCGGAUGUGAAAUCCUGCGGCUUAACCGCAGAACUGCGUUCGAAACUGGCAGGCUUGAGUGCGAGAGGGGGAGGUGGAAUUCCCGGUGUAGAGGUGAAAUUCGUAGAUAUCGGGAAGAAUACCGGUGGCGAAGGCGACCUCCUGGCUCGUAACUGACACUCAGACGCGAAAGCGUGGGGAGCAAACAG